UACGGAGGGUGCGAGCGUUGUUCGGAAUCACUGGGCGUAAAGCGCGUGUAGGCGGCCUCUUAAGUCUGAUGUGAAAGCCCGGGGCUUACCCCCGGAAGUGCAUUGGAAACUGGGAGGCUGGAGUACCGGAGAGGAAGGUGGAAUUCCUGGUGUAGCGGUGAAAUGCGUAGAUAUCAGGAGGAACACCGGUGGCGAAGGCGGCCUUCUGGACGGAUACUGACGCUGAGACGCGAAAGCGUGGGGAGCAAACAGG
Molecule: ribosomal RNA, 253 nt
Filed under: uncultured bacterium
Lineage: Bacteria
Description: partial 16S ribosomal RNA
Rfam family: Bacterial small subunit ribosomal RNA
Source: RNAcentral